RNAcentral lists this ribosomal RNA (468 nucleotides) under uncultured bacterium. RNAcentral's name for it is "partial 16S ribosomal RNA". It matches the Rfam family "Bacterial small subunit ribosomal RNA", at positions 28 to 507 of the family's 1533-position model. The record is from RNAcentral.
GACGAACGCUGGCGGCGUGCUUAACACAUGCAAGUCGAACGGAAAGGCCCUGCUUUUGUGGGGUGCUCGAGUGGCGAACGGGUGAGUAACACGUGAGUAACCUGCCCUUGACUUUGGGAUAACUUCAGGGAACUGGGGCUAAUACCGGAUAGGAGCUCCUGCUGCAUGGUGGGGGUUGGAAAGCUUCGGCGGUUGGGGAUGGACUCGCGGCUUAUCAGCUUGUUGGUGGGGUAGUGGCUUACCAAGGCUUUGACGGGUAGCCGGCCUGAGAGGGUGACCGGCCACAUUGGGACUGAGAUACGGCCCAGACUCCUACGGGAGGCAGCAGUGGGGAAUAUUGCACAAUGGGCGGAAGCCUGAUGCAGCAACGCCGCGUGCGGGAUGACGGCCUUCGGGUUGUAAACCGCUUUCGCCUGUGACGAAGCGUGAGUGACGGUAAUGGGUAAAGAAGCACCGGCUAACUACGUG